RNAcentral lists this ribosomal RNA (390 nucleotides) under uncultured bacterium. Its description in RNAcentral is "bacterial SSU rRNA". It matches the Rfam family "Bacterial small subunit ribosomal RNA", at positions 30 to 416 of the family's 1533-position model. The record is from RNAcentral.
AUUGAACGCUGGCGGCAUGCCUUACACAUGCAAGUCGAACGGCAGCACGGGAGCUUGCUCCUGGUGGCGAGUGGCGAACGGGUGAGUAAUACAUCGGAACGUACCCUGAAGUGGGGGAUAACGUAGCGAAAGUUACGCUAAUACCGCAUAUUCUGUGAGCAGGAAAGAGGGGGGAUCGCAAGACCUCUUGCUUUAGGAGCGGCCGAUGUCGGAUUAGCUAGUUGGUGAGGUAAAGGCUCACCAAGGCGACGAUCCGUAGCUGGUCUGAGAGGACGACCAGCCACACUGGAACUGAGACACGGUCCAGACUCCUACGGGAGGCAGCAGUGGGGAAUUUUGGGACAAUGGGCGCAAGCCUGAUCCAGCCAUUCCGCGUGAGUGAAGAAGGCC